Sander lucioperca (pikeperch) is the source of this 2033-nucleotide long non-coding RNA. RefSeq lists it as uncharacterized. Lineage: Eukaryota; Metazoa; Chordata; Actinopteri; Perciformes; Percidae. The record is from RefSeq and is a predicted model, not a curated record. The transcript has 2 exons.
AGAAAUUUUCCACUUCGCCACUAGAGGGCGCCGCCACUAUAAACGUAAAUAUGAGUCAUAAUUGCUGCUUGACCAAACGACUUAUGUGGGCGUUUUUCGGGAGAGGACAGUCUCCAUGAGAGUGGUAUCAAUCUUAUCAUCAAACUGAGCAACAAAGUGAAUAAUCGUAUUUCUGAAAAUGUCAAACUAUUCCUUUAACAUUACAGUAUCAUGCCUCUGUUUGUCUUUCUAAAAGACAUGAAACACAUUCACUAUAAUAAAGGAGAAAUUAGUAAAAUGAUAAGGCACCAUGCCUUGUAUGUGGUGUAUGAUGCAUCCUAUAGUUGUGAUGACUUAUCAGAAAGCCACUGGGUUAGCGGGCUAGCAUGCUGUCCUAAAGUAGUUUGAAUGGAAGAUAAUCGGAGUCUCAAAAGGAUAUCAGUGCUAAGAAUCAUCUUGAUGGCCCUUUAAGCUAACAGACAAAUAGGAUCAUUAUUAUUUGCUGGAUCUCAAUUAUUUCCAAGCUGUUUUGGGUUGAAUCGGGGGAAAAGUCUAAACCCUGUGAGACAGUGAAGUCCACUCUCCCACUGGCUCUGGACUGGCCAGAGAGCCCUUCAUUUAAGAACAUUCAGUUUGCUACGAGUGGAUCUUAAUCAAGCAUGACUAUUAGCUUUUUUUCUUUCAACUUGAGUUGAUGAAGCAUGACUCUUUACUGCCCCCACCUCCUGCCACUUCUCGUACAGUGCUACACUGCACCAUUCCACUAGGAAGGGAUAUAUCACUACAGCCAUUCCAGUCUCUCUUUCAAUCCGUGUCGUCCAAUGAGUCAGGGCGGCUAAUGGAGGUCUAUCUGCUUGAUUGCGACCUUACCUGCCUUUUCAUAUCUAAGGUUUCCACCUCUUCAUUACAUCGCAGGUUUAGCCUCGCGUUUGUCAUCUGUCAUCAUUAAGAACAUCAGUCCCCCACGCUCAAAGAGGCUUCCCACAUGGCCUGCAGCAAAGUCCUUUGAGUGGUUUGAAUGACAAAGAAAUAAAAAAAAAAUUAAAAAAAAACCCAGAAAGAAGCAGGGGAACCCCCCCCAGGUCAUGUUCCAUGUUGCACACAGUGUGAAAUAUUUAGUUACACCAGGAGGGAUUACAGAUGCUGUGUGUGUUUUCCCCAGAGAGUUGUGAUGGUACUGGUGUUAAGGACUUCAUUCUUCAUCAGGCGAAAAAAGAAAGAAAGAGAAAGAUGAGAGCAAUAGCUCAUUUACUGACAGACGUCCAGUUUGGCCCCGGGGGGUGAGGUGAGGUGAACAGCAAGAGAGUGGGUGUCCUGUAAAUAUGACCUCAUUGUAGAUGUCGCCAAGUAAACGGGACAAAUGGUGAACCGCAGGGCUAAAGGUAGCUGGGUGCAUUGCACAGCUUGUUGCAGGUAUCCGGUAGAAAAACAACAUCUAGAAAGGAUACAAAGGAUUUGAAAUUCUGUCAAACUGAAAUUAACAUUUGAUUAUUUUUUCUGCUGAUGGAGGUAUAAUCGGGUUCUGUUGUUUUUACCCUGUUGUAAAGGUUUGUUUUCUUCUUCACUCCUUAUCCUGUCACCAACAAAGUCCUGCCAAAACACCAUUCCAAUAUUUAAUAGUGACCCAAUUUUCUCCGCCAGAAAAUAAAAAAAAAAAAAAAUGCACAGUAUUUUGUAGUGAAGUGAGGGACAUUCAUGUUAUUCUGAUGAUGGUAGAUGAGUCAACGUGAUAAACGCAUCCCAGAGUCUUUUUUUUAAUUAUCCUGAAAAGUAGGCUUUCCUCAUAGAGCAGGAAUCACUUCUACUGAACAAAAACAGAGUAAAAAAAACCCCAAUAAGUGAAGAAAUGUAACCCAAUCAAUGUUCUGUGUCACUGCCACAUGAUGCAUAAUGUACGUAGUAGCACUGGAAUAAAUCAACUUUUAAUGGAUGGCAAAUGGGUUUUAACAUGUUCUCUGUAUACUGUUCGCUGUCUCUUCAUUUUGCAGGUGAGCCUUUGUCCUAGCAAGGAGAGACACCACGGUCAAAUCAUUAAAGACUAUCUUCAGCUAUGA